UGCAGCUUAGUGGCAGAGUGCUUGCCUCUCAUGCAUGAGGCCUGGAGUUCAGUCCCCAGUAAUGCAG
This 67-nucleotide transfer RNA is filed under the name Marmota monax (woodchuck). Its description in RNAcentral is "tRNA.Glu". Lineage: Eukaryota; Metazoa; Chordata; Mammalia; Rodentia; Sciuridae. The record is from RNAcentral.